Molecule: long non-coding RNA, 213 nt
Filed under: Mustela putorius furo (domestic ferret)
Lineage: Eukaryota; Metazoa; Chordata; Mammalia; Carnivora; Mustelidae
Description: lncRNA (ENSMPUG00000030710.1)
Source: RNAcentral
GCCUCUGGUUCUAACUGGGGAGCAACAAGAAUCCCACUGGCUUUCCAGCCUAGUCUGCUUUGGGUUCUUGUAUACUUACGCAGAUGUUUUUAGCCAGUGAUAACGUGUUGCCUGCAGAAGUUCAUCACUCACAGAAUCUUGGCAUGACCUUGAAAAAUAUCAUGAAGCCAGAAAUGAAGACACGAAUAUGACCCAGUUGCUCUUCAUUCCCAA